GACGAACGCUGGCGGCGUGCCUAAUACAUGCAAGUAGAACGCACAGUUUAUACCGUAGCUUGCUACACCAUAAACUGUGAGUUGCGAACGGGUGAGUAACGCGUAGGUACCCUGCCUGGUAGCGGGGGAUAACUAUUGGAAACGAUAGCUAAUACCGCAUAAUAUUGAUUAUUGCAUGAUAAUUGAUUGAAAGAUGCUAUUGCAUCACUACCAGAUGGACCUGCGUUGUAUUAGCUAGUAGGUGAGGUAACGGCUCACCUAGGCGACGAUACAUAGCCGACCUGAGAGGGUGAUCGGCCACACUGGGACUGAGACACGGCCCAGACUCCUACGGGAGGCAGCAGUAGGGAAUCUUCGGCAAUGGACGAAAGUCUGACCGAGCAACGCCGCGUGAGUGAAGAAGGUUUUCGGAUCGUAAAGCUCUGUUGUAAGAGAAGAACGGGUGUGAGAGUGGAAAGUUCACACUGUGACGGUAUCUGACCAGAAAGGGACGGCUAACUACGUG
Molecule: ribosomal RNA, 505 nt
Filed under: uncultured bacterium
Lineage: Bacteria
Description: partial 16S ribosomal RNA
Rfam family: Bacterial small subunit ribosomal RNA
Source: RNAcentral